This 292-nucleotide ribosomal RNA is filed under the name uncultured bacterium. Its description in RNAcentral is "partial 16S ribosomal RNA". The record is from RNAcentral.
GGACUACUGGGGUAUCUAAUCCUGUUUGCUCCCCACGCUUUCGCACCUCAGCGUCAGUAUCGGGCCAGUGAGCCGCCUUCGCCACUGGUGUUCUUGCGAAUAUCUACGAAUUUCACCUCUACACUCGCAGUUCCACUCACCUCUCCCGAACUCAAGACUCCCAGUAUCGAAGGCAGUUCUGGAGUUGAGCUCCAGGAUUUCACCCCCGACUUAAGAGUCCGCCUACGUGCGCUUUACGCCCAGUGAUUCCGAGCAACGCUAGCCCCCUUCGUAUUACCGCGGCUGCUGGCAC